GUCGGAUGUGAAAUCCCCGGGCUCAACCUGGGAACUGCAUUCGAAACUGGCAGGCUUGAGUCUUGUAGAGGGGGGUAGAAUUCCAGGUGUAGCGGUGAAAUGCGUAGAGAUCUGGAGGAAUACCGGUGGCGAAGGCGGCCCCCUGGACAAAGACUGACGCUCAGGUGCGAAAGCGUGGGGAGCAAACAGGAUUAGAUACCCUGGUAGUCCACGCCGUAAACGAUGUCUACUUGGAGGUUGUGCCCUUGAGGCGUGGCUUCCGGAGCUAACGCGUUAAGUAGACCGCCUGGGGAGUACGGCCGCAAGGUUAAAACUCAAAUGAAUUGACGGGGGCCCGCACAAGCGGUGGAGCAUGUGGUUUAAUUCGAUGCAACGCGAAGAACCUUAC
This 388-nucleotide ribosomal RNA is filed under the name Salmonella enterica. RNAcentral describes it as "bacterial SSU rRNA". It matches the Rfam family "Bacterial small subunit ribosomal RNA", at positions 587 to 974 of the family's 1533-position model. RNAcentral also lists the same sequence under 2 other names. Lineage: Bacteria; Pseudomonadati; Pseudomonadota; Gammaproteobacteria; Enterobacterales; Enterobacteriaceae. The record is from RNAcentral.